This 79-nucleotide transfer RNA is filed under the name Bacteroidia bacterium. RNAcentral's name for it is "tRNA-Met". It matches the Rfam family "tRNA". From Rfam's summary of the family: Transfer RNA (tRNA) molecules are approximately 80 nucleotides in length. Their secondary structure includes four short double-helical elements and three loops (D, anti-codon, and T loops). Further hydrogen bonds mediate the characteristic L-shaped molecular structure. tRNAs have two regions of fundamental functional importance: the anti-codon, which is responsible for specific mRNA codon recognition, and the 3' end, to which the tRNAs corresponding amino acid is attached (by aminoacyl-tRNA synthetases). tRNAs cope with the degeneracy of the genetic code in two manners: having more than one tRNA (with a specific anti-codon) for a particular amino acid; and 'wobble' base-pairing, i.e. permitting non-standard base-pairing at the 3rd anti-codon position. The record is from RNAcentral. Lineage: Bacteria; Pseudomonadati; Bacteroidota; Bacteroidia.
CGCGGGGUAGAGCAGUCUGGUAGCUCGUCGGGCUCAUAACCCGGAGGUCGGUUGGGUUCAAAUCCCCCCCCCGCAACCA